Molecule: long non-coding RNA, 4942 nt
Organism: Oncorhynchus mykiss (rainbow trout)
Lineage: Eukaryota; Metazoa; Chordata; Actinopteri; Salmoniformes; Salmonidae
Source: Ensembl
AUGGCCUCUUCGGGGUUUCGUGGUGACGUUUCCCAGGUGCGUGGCGGCCGUGAUCCCGUCUUCUCUGAGGCCAUCAACCAGAAGAUGCGUGUCCCGGACCGGCUGAGAGUGGGGCCAGGCAUGGGACAGGGAGGGGAAGAGGCGAGGCAGGGGCGUGCUGAGCGUCCCGCUUCCUAUAGCAUGCACAUCCCAGACAGGCUGUCUCUCACAGAUGCCCCGGACAUGAGCCCCCGUCCACUGUUCACGCCAUCCAAGCACAACUCAGCCCUCCCCCUGGGGCUUGCAUGGGAGGCACAGCAGCAAGGUGCCUGGGACAGAGACCCCUACAUGAGGGAACCAGUGCAGAGUCCCCUGCGGAGGUCCUACAGUGACCAGGCUUUUGGCAGGAGUGACCCUGACACCCCCACUUCCAAACAGGCACUGCACACCCCCACCUUUAGUGGCGGUGCAGGACGCCCCCCUAAGCGCUCCGCUGCUGCUGCAAACCCCCUGCCCAUGGUCCUGGGGCUCCCUGUCAUCCCACCCAGCCACCUGUCCCCAACGACCAUGCUACAGGCCGCCAAGGAACUGGGCCAACAGGCCUCACAGCGCCUCCUGCAGACUGUUACACAGAAAUACAGGUUCAGUUAUCCUGAACACCCAACGACUGCUGUGGUCGAGGCACCCCCUGUGUACGUUGAACCAGCCAGGAAAAGGUGACAAGUUCUGGCAAGCCAUUUACUGUUAUUGGGUGUGUUCCGGGGUUCGAAGAAACCCUGUUUUCAGAAGCCUAAAGUAUUUAAUUGUGGUGUGUGCAUGUGCCAUUUACAUGUAUCCCUGUGUGUGUGGUUGGCAGUGCCAUGCAGGACUCCUGGAUGAGCCCAGAUGAUGAGGGAAGUGCCGCAGCUGUGGAGUUCAUCGUACUUAGGAGACAGGUAAGCAGGCUAAUUACCCCCUUACUGUUAGUGUUGCUGUACUCUUUGGUUCAGUCCAUGCCGCCAGGUUGAGUAGCCAUUGUUUUACCAGUAGAUGGAGCCAGAAGCCAUAUCUUCUAUAUUUUCUUCUGGACAUUGUUGAGGCACUAAUAUUGCUUGUGUUAUGGAUACUUGUAUGUUGUAUUUAUGUAAGUUGUUUUUAAUCAAACAGGCUCAGAAAUCGAGGCCAUCUUUACACUACGCCAAAUGCUUUGUAAAAAUAAUUGGUUACUUACAGUAUAAUGAGUAAGAUGGCACCGACAGACAUGGCAGCUCUGCUUCUAGCUCCUCAGCAACUUCGCAGUAUUUUGUUUUUGUGUGUGUUAUUUCUUACACUAUUAGCCCAGAAUGUUUUUUGUGUUAGUACAUACAGCCGGAAAGAACUCUUGGAUAUCAGAAUGGCGGUAACUCACCAGCAUUUUGACCAGGUAUACGACUUUCCCGAAUUGGAUCCUUUGUUUGCACACCCCAGGGCAAUUGAACUUAUCCCAGAGGCUGCUCCAAGACGCUGCUGGCGGUGAAGAGGUAAUCGGAAUAGACAGACAGGAAUAAAGAACUCUCCGGGAAGAUUGGCGGUGGUGUGUUUCAUGAUUAACCACUCAUGGUGUGAUUUGUGAUAAUGUACAGAAACUGAAGUCCUUUUGUUUACCCAACCUAGAAUACCUUACAAUCAAAUGCUGACGGUAUUACCUCUCAAGAGAAUUCUCUUCAGUUAUAGUCACAGCUGUGUAUAUUCCCCCUCAAGGAACUACAAUGGACUUCAUGCAAACUGGAAACCACAUAUCCUGAGGCCGCAUUUAUUUUAGCUGUGGAUUUUAACAAACCAAAUGAGGAAAACGCUACCUAAGUCUCUCUUCCGGGAUGCCUACAAGGCCCUCCCUUCGGCAAAUCAGUUCAUGACUCCAUUUUGCUCCUCCCUUCCUAUAGGCAGAAACUCAAACAGGAAGUACAUGUGCUAAGGACUAUUCAACUCUGGUCUGACCAAUCCAAGCUUCAAGAUUGUUUUGAUCACGUGGACUGAGAUAUGUUAUGGGUAGCCUCGGAUAAUAUCGUUGAUAUAUACACGGACACGGUGACAGAGUUCAUUAGGAAGUGCAUAGGGGAUGUUCCCACUGUGACGACUAAAACCUACCCAAACCAGAAACCGUGAAUAGAUGGCAGCAUUCGCACUAAGCUGAAAGCGCAAACCACCGCAUUUAACCAUGGCAAGGUGACUGGGAAUAUGGACGAAUACUAACGGUGUAGUUAUUCCCUCCGUAAGGCAAUCAAACAGGCAAAACGUCAGUACAGAGAGGAGUCGCAGUUCAUCGGCUGAGACGAGACGUAUGUGGCAGGGUCUACAGACAAUCACGGAUUACAAAGGGGAAACCAGCCACGUCACAGACACAGACGUCUUGCUCCCAGACAAGCUGAACACCUUCUUCACCUGCUUUGAGGAUAACACAGUGCCAUCGACGCAGCCUGCUCCCAGGGACUGUGGGUUCUCAUUCUCCGUGGCCGACGUGAGUAAGACAUUAAGCCUGUUAACAUUUGCAAGGUUGCCGGACCAGACGGCAUCCCUAGCCGCGUUCUCAGAGCAUGCGCAGACCAGCUGGCUGGAGUGUUUACGGACAUAUUCAAUCUCUCCCUAUCCCAGGCUGCUGUCCCCACUUGCUUCAAGAUGUCUACCAUUGUUCCUGUACCCAAGAAAGCAAAAGUAACUGAACUGACUAUUGCCCCAUAGCACCCACUUCUGUCAAUUUGCCAAUCUUGGUGUUCUCUGGCAAAUGCCAAACGUCCUGCACGUUGUUGGGCUGUAAGCACAUGGAAAACCACACUACAGGCUGAUCCAACUUUGGUGUAAUGUCCUUAAAACAAGUCAAACUGAGGCUCAGUAGUGUAGCAGUCAGGCUACCUCUGGAGUCUGUUUCUGACCGUUUGAGCAGACACAUGCACAUUUGUGGCCUGCUGGAGGUCAUUUUUCAUGGCUCUGGCAGUGCUCCUCCUGCUCCUCCUUGCACAAAGGCGGAGGAAGCGGUCCUGCUGCUGGGUUGUUGCCGUCCUACGGCCUCCUCCACGUCUCCUGAUGUACUGGCCUGUCUCCUGGUAGCGCCUCCAUGCUCUGGACACUACGCUGACAGACACAGCAAACCUUCUUGCCACAGCUCGCAUUUAUGUGCCAUCCUGGAUGAGCUGCACUACCUGAGCCACUUGUGUGGGUUGUAGACUCCGUCUCAUGCUACCACUAGAGUGAAAGCACCGCCAGCAUUCAAAAGUGACCAAAACAUCAGCCAGGAAGCAUAGGAACUGAGAAGUGGUCUGUGGUCACCACCUGCAGAACCACUCCUUUAUUGGGGGUCUCUUGCUAAUUGCCUAUAAUUUCCACCUGCUGUCUAUUCCAUUUGCACAACAGCAUGUAAAAUUUAUUUUCAAUCAGUGUUGCUUCCUAAGUGGACAGUUUGAUUUCACAGAAGUGUGAUUGACUUGGAGUUACAUUGUGUUGUUUAAGUGUUCCCUUUAUUUUUUUGAGCAGUGUACAUAGACAUGGAAUCACAGGUCACUUUAAUCGAACACUAGUCACUUUAAUGUUUACAUAGUAAUUUCAUGUGUGUAUACUGUAUUCUAUUCUACUGAAUUUUAGUCAAUGCCUCUCCGACAAUGCUCAUCCUAAUAUUUACAUAUUUCUUAAUUCCAUUUUACUUUUAGAUUUUUGUGUAUUGUUGUGACUUGUUAGAUAUUAUUUUAUAAGAAUCAUUGACCUCAUCCGAUCGGUUGAGGAUGCCAGGUCGUUCUUUAAAAGUAAUUUCCUCACCAUCUUAAAUAAGCAUGCCCCUUUCAAAAAAUGUAGAACUAAGAACAGAUAUAGCCCUUGGUUCACUCCAGACCUGACUGCCCUCGACCAGCACAAAAACAUCCUGUGGCGGACUGCACUAGCAUCGAAUAGUCCCCGCGAUACGCAACUUUUCAGGGAAGUCAGGAACCAGUACAGAUAGUCAGUUAGGAAAGCAAAGGCUAGCUUUUCCAAAAAUAAAUUUGCAUCCUGUAGCUCUAACUCCAGAAAGUUUUGGGACACUAAAGUCCAUGGAGAAUAAGACCACCUCCUCCCAGCUACCCACUGCACUGAAGCUAGGCAACAAUGUCACCACCGAUAAAUCCACGAUAAUAUAGAAUUUCAAUAAGCAUUUCUCUACGGCUGGCCAUACUUUCCUCCUGGCUACCCCAACCCUGGCCAACAGCUCCACAACCCCCUGCAGUUACUUGCUCAAGCCUCCCCAGCUUCUCCUUCACCCAAAUCCAGAUAGCAGAUGUUCUGAAAGAGCUGCACAAAUCAGCUGGGCAAAUCUAGACCCUCUAUUUCUAAAAUAAUCCGCCACCAUUGUUGCAACCCCUAAUACCAGUCUGUUCAACCUCUUUCGUAUCGUACGAGAUCCCUAAAGAUUGGAAAGCUGCCGCGGUCGUCCCCCUCUUCAAAGGGGGUGACACGCUAGACCCAAACUGUUACAGACCUAUAUCCAUCCAUUUCUAAAGUCUUUGAAAGCCAAGUUAAUAAACAGAUCACUGACCCUUUCGAAUCCCACCGUACCUUCCCUGCUGUGCAAUCCGGUUUCCGAGCUGGUCACGGGGGCACCUCAGCCACGCUCAAGGUCCUAAAAACGAUAUUAUAACCGCCAUCGAUAAAAGACUACUGUGCAGCCAUCUUCAUCGACCUGGCCAAGGCUUUCGACUCUGUCAAUCACUGUAUUCUUAUUGGCAGACUCGAUAGCCUUGGUUUUUCUAAUGACUGCCUCACCUGGUUCAACAACUACCUCUCAGACAGAGUUCAGUGUGUCAAAUCGGAGGGCCUGUUGUCCAAACCUCUGGCAGUCUUUAUGGGGGUGCCACAGGGUUCAAGUCUUGGGCCGACUCUUUUCUCUGUAUAUAUCAACGAUGUCGCUCUUGCUGCGGGUGAUUUCCCUGAUCCAACUCUACUCAGACGACACCAUUCUGUAUACAUCUGGCCCUUCUUUGGA